This is a long non-coding RNA of Macaca mulatta (Rhesus monkey), 897 nucleotides long. RefSeq lists it as uncharacterized. The record is from RefSeq and is a predicted model, not a curated record. NCBI's taxonomy places the organism in Eukaryota, Metazoa, Chordata, Mammalia, Primates, Cercopithecidae.
GGCUCGUGAUCCUCCUGCCUUGGCCUCCCAAAGCACUGGGAAUAUAGGUGUGAGCCACCGAGCCCAGCUGACUUACGUCUUUAAAUUCUUAGCAGACCUACUUGUGCUUUCCUCCUUCGCCUCUGGCCCUGGGUGUCCUCUCUGAGAAGGGACGAUGACAGCCCUCUGCUCUGAGGAACUGGCUCAGUUGCCUGUCACUUGGAUGAUGCCCCAUGCUGUAGCUUUGGACAUCUCCAUCAGCACCGCAUCCCCUGCCUUGCAGCAUCUGACAUAAUGAGAUGAGCUCUCACCAUGUUUCCUAGACUGGUCUAGAAUGCCUAGGCUCAAGCGAUCCUCCCUCCUCAGCCUCCCAAAGUGGUGGUAUUACAGGCGUGAGCCAUUGUACCCAGCCUCCAAAUCUUCACCAGCCCUCAAAAUUAAGCUCAACUUCUGUCUCCUCCAAGAAUUUUACACAGGAUUCCAAUCUGGAGGGAUCAGUUUCCUACAAGUGUAGACUUUAUUGACUCUUCCACCAUUUGGUCUCCUAUGUUACCAUCAGGAAAAAUUAAUGAAAGACUUUCAAAUGGACGAAAAAAGAGUAAAUGCCACUGAAUGUCCAACCUAGAGCACUCUUCCAGUUUAUUACUGCCUUCCAUUGCCUUUGAGCCAUGUUACAACUCUGUAAGUCAGAGAGAACUGAUAAUAGUGCAAAUGAUUUGAGUUCAUAGAAAUGCAAAUUCCUUGUGUCCCGUGGAGUGUACGCGAUGGUUGCCCUGUGGAUAAACUUCCUCUGCAAGUUCAUUUCAGCCUCCUGUUGACUUACACGUGUGUGGUUUUUGGACUUUUCCUUUUAACCAGUUAGAACAUCUUAACUACUUCCCAUUAAUUAAUUAGUUAAAUAAAAUUUUUAUAUUUUAA